GCCUACGGGGGGCAGCAGUGAGGAAUAUUGGUCAAUGGGCGGGAGCCUGAACCAGCCAAGCCGCGUGAGGGAAGAAGGUACAGCGUAUCGUAAACCUCUUUUGUCAGGGAACAAAGGCGGGGACUAGUCCCCGGAUGAGGGUACCUGAAGAAAAAGCAUCGGCUAACUCCGUGCCAGCAGCCGCGGUAAUACGGAGGAUGCGAGCGUUAUCCGGAUUUAUUGGGUUUAAAGGGUGCGCAGGCGGCCUGUUAAGUCAGCGGUAAAAGCCCGGGGCUCAACCCCGGCAAGCCGUUGAAACUGGCGGG
Molecule: ribosomal RNA, 305 nt
Filed under: uncultured bacterium
Lineage: Bacteria
Description: bacterial SSU rRNA
Rfam family: Bacterial small subunit ribosomal RNA
Source: RNAcentral